Molecule: long non-coding RNA, 10788 nt
Organism: Bactrocera neohumeralis
Lineage: Eukaryota; Metazoa; Arthropoda; Insecta; Diptera; Tephritidae
Exons: 4
Source: RefSeq, a predicted model, not a curated record
UUUGUUAGCAUCGAACGAUAGCGAUCGCCAUUCACCGUAACGUUGCGUCCAACAGCAUCUUUGAAAAAAUACGGUCCAAUGAUUCCACCAGCGUACAAACCACACCAAACAGUGCAUUUUUCGGGAUGCAUGGGCAGUUGGCCACCAAGAUCAUGCGAUUUAACGCCUUUAGACUAUUUUUUGUGGGGCUACGUCAAGUCUAAAGUCUACAGAAAUAAGCCAGCAACUAUUCCAGCUUUGGAAGACAACAUUUCCGAAGAAAUUCGGGCUAUUCCGGCCGAAAUGCUCGAAAAAGUUGCCCAAAAUUGGACUUGCCGAAUCGACCACCUAAGACGCAGCCGCGGUCAACAUUUAAAUGAAAUUAUCUUCAAAAAGUAAAUGUCAUGAACCAAUCUAACGUUUCAAAUAAAGAACCGAUGAGAUUUUGCAAAUUUUAUGCGUUUUUUUUUAAAAAAGUUAUCAAGCUCUUAAAAAAUCACCCGAUAUAAACUUACAUAGGUACGAAUUCUUACUUACUAGUACUUAUUUCUAUAUACUCUAUAAUGAUAACGUAAGCAAUAAUUAUAGCAAAACAGCAAACCUCAGUUUGGUCGAGAAGCGGCUUACAUUGCGGCGGCACGGCUUCCGUUCUGGUUUAGUGCCGACGAAAUGUGUUGUUGUUGUAAAUUUUGGAAAUUAACUUUAUUGAGCAAUGAUAUUGUAUAUUUACAGAAUAUUGCUGAAUUGAGUAAUAUCGGUAUAUUUUGCUAGCUACGACAACUUUGUUGUUGUACAUUUUGUUAGCUAUGCUAGCUGUGAUAACUUGUAAGUUUUCAUUAUAUGUAUGUAUAUGUAUACAUUUGGUUUUCUUGUUGUUUUGUAUCUUCCGCUUUUGCUUAGGUUUUGAGCAAACUUGCUUGUUGUUUGUUUUGUUUUUAGCCCAAGGGGUAUCGCAGGAAAUAUUGCAAGUAGUAAAUACUUAUGUAAUACUGGACUUAGCAAUUUGUUUUUUUUUUUGAAAUUUUAUAACGGUGGGUCUAAAGACAUAAGCCAAGCAAAUUGGCAGGUACUGUACUUUUUGCAGUUACUUUUUUUUACAUAUACAUAUAUCGAACUUUUAAGAACAGUUAACUUUGUCCUGAAAUACCGUCGAAACUGUAAACUCAAUUAAUGUACAUAUAUGUAUAUAUAUUAUAUGUGGAACGGCCUCACUUUAUUUUCCCCUAAGGGUUUCGGGUCUUUCUACCUAUACCCUUUUUCGUUUUUUUCUUCUAUUAAUGUAGGUAUGUCUAGCGCUGUUAUUUAUUUCUUUUUUUACUUAGGUACUCGAAGGACCAUUUGCUCACGUAUGACACUGGUAUACUUACGGUAGACUUUGGAAAAUGAAAACGCACUGAUCUCAAUUAUAAUGCAAACACUCUGUAUACAAUUUUUAUUUAAUCUGUAUAGAACAACUUAAUUUUUAUUUGGUUUUCCGCGAAACACAAUGCUUGACACUGCUGGCAGAAUCUGGGAUUUGCGUAACUCCGUCACUUUGGCGGUUUAACAAAAAAGAAAGUGCGGAUGUUGCGGUUGAAGAUAAGAAAAAUUGCGGUAGAACGUCUUGAUUCACGGAUGAAACGAUAAGAAGAAGUAUCUCGUUCGGCUCUAUUUCUUUUUAUAGUUUGGGUGGUGGAUUGAUCCGUUGGUGAUGAAGUCGGGGGUUGUAUGAUGAGGUGUAUAAUGAGCGAUAUUGUGUUCUUUGUUCCGUGGUUUUUUUAUUUUUAUUUUUUAUAGUAGGGGGAAGCAUAGAAAGCCGGAAUGCGGAACUUUAAUCCGCUAAACCUAACCUACUCCCAACUCAAGGCUCUCCCACGGGACCACCGAUUAAGUAUUACUUCGUGGGAGGGACAGGACAUUUCAGUCUCUUAUAUUAUGCUGAUUAACGGAACGCCUAAUUUGUUCAAAAAGUCUCAGUUUUGUCAUUAUGGAUGCUGACGCUUCGCUGACAGCUUUCCAAUUAUCAGUCGACUGACACAUACCAUCGAGUCAGCAUAGAAUUUUGAGAUUGCUGAGCUGGGACGAGCGUAGCAACUUACAAAAUAUAUCCCCUGUAUAUUCGCCCAUGUGAAGCAGUUAUGAGCUUUUCUGGAGCAGGUCUUAAAAGGUUGACUUUUGCAGGACCAUAUUGGUGCUUUGCCAGAUUUGUCUGCAAUGCAUGUACUUACCGCACGCUGAAAGUGUUGUUCACUUAGUAUGGCGACAUCAAUGUUCUCUUCUAUGACUAUCUGUUCUAGCAAAUCCUGAGCUGCUGCGCAAUGGUUGACGUUAAGCUGUAGUAUCCUCAUUUACUUAGACACUUCAUCAUCUCGAGAUACUUUGGGCAAGUCGUGCUCAAUACUGAGUGCUACGCUUUGCUGAGCAUGCAGCUCGGAAAGUUUGCGCAUACCUUUGCUAAAUAUCCCACUGAUCCACAACGUGUACAAAGAGAAGAUCUGUCUGUCGAGCUGCAGCAAUUGCGCGCCAUGUGACCCAGGUGGAAACACUUAUAGCAUCUGGGAACAGGUGAGUAUUCUCGAAGACGACAGAUCGACCACCCAAUCUUUAUUUUCCCUAUUUUAAGUGCGGCCUUGGCAUCUUGAGCACGCAUGCAUACAAGUGUUGUUUGUGUGCCACUACGCGUUUUUUAGCAGAUUUUUCACACUCAAUAUCUCCAGAUUUUCGAUUCCACACUAUCUUUUUGUGCUGCGCAGAUUUCGAGGUCUUUGCACGUAAUCGUGACGUUGUGGGUCUUGGGCUGUAUCUUAGCCAUUUCGCCAAGAUUCGGCUUUCGUCUCUGCUCGAUUUUUUAGUUCUAUAAGUAAAUCUCUUUUCAGUGUUUUACGAAUAUAGUUUACAUUUGAACCCAGUUCUUCCAGCCCGCUGUCACAUUUAAUUUUUCCCAGAACAUCAGCAUACGACGCAUCAUCCUUCUUUGUUAUAAUUAUGGCAUCUGGUUGUGUUCUGAUUUUUCUUUCCAAAGAGUGAACGGCGUUAUCUUCCGAUUUCAUCCAUUUCAAAUUGUCCAUAGAGGUUCUUAUAUAUAUUAUGCUUGGCAAAUUUAAUUGCUGUAGCCUUAGUGGUUUAAGAGAUACGUACAUUAAACUUAUAAAAAGACGGGCACAUGCCGACUUUGUCAAAAUUUUGAAUUCACAGGUGCCCCUUGCUCCUGCGAUUCCCUAUGUUGAAUUACAGUUCUAUAUCUUAAUUAAGUGCUUAGUUAUGUCAAUUUAUAAGUCUUCGUUUAAUGUUCAUUAUUUUUUUUACAAUUUAUUUCGAAAGCCGUUUAUUUGGGGGUUUCUUUUGUUAAUCGUUUAACUGCUCUUGAACAGAACAGUCAAAUAUUCGAGUGGUUUGUACUGCUGACUUCCUUAAGUUUAAAAUUCUUCCAAUUUCACUUAAAGAAUAACCUUCAUUUCUAAAUUUAAUAACGGUUUUUCGAAUUGCUUCGGAAACUUCCCUUCCUUUGUCCAUUUUUAUAGUAAAAAACACUUCUCGAUUAAAAAAUUAUAAUUGUGACCAAUUUCAAUGAAAUGUUAAGCAAUACUGAUGGUUUGAAACAAAUAUCAAGAAAAUGUGCAACGGUACACUUUGCUUUUUGCAUCGUAUGUGGAUUUAUGUAUGUAAAUAUGGGAAAUUAAGUAGUUUAACUUUUUUGUCGUUACUUUAAAAAAUUUUGUAUUGGAGAGAUUUAUAAUGAUUUUGUUUUUCACUUAAAGUUCUAAAAACUAAUAACAUAUGAACAGUACUUUGAUAUUUGUAAUUAAAUUAUUUUUUCAUGGACGUAUGUAAACUUUUGUAAGACUGCGUUCGUAUAACCCUAUAUCUAUCUCGAUCAGUUUUGGUUGAUGCCUUCAACCGUUAGGUGAACAAAAGUACUAUACCCUGCAACAGCAUAUUUGUGUUCGUACCAAUUGGAGAUUCCAAGUGUAGCCAGGUCCUUCUCCUCUGAUCUUUCCAACGGAGUGGAAGUCUUCCUCUGCUUCCCCCGGCGGGUAUUGCGUUGAAUACUUUCAGAUCUGAAGUUAUCCAUUCGGACGACAUGACCUAGUCACCGUAGCAGGUGUCUCUUGACGCUGAACUAUGCCAAUGUCAUCGUAUGCCUCGUAACUGCGAUUGUGGUCAUUGCCAAUACGCAAAAGACAAUAAGUCUUUCAGAACCCUUCCCUCGAAAACUCGUAACGCCGACGACUUUUCGUUUGAUGACAGGAGAUAUAGCGUCUUGCCCUCGUUGUCUACCAGACCCAUUUGCCUGGCUUCUUUGCCCAACCAUCCCGAUCCUCAUACAUGGCGGCUUAGAGGCAGUUUUAUUUCAUGCUGUGCAAAACAGCUACGAAAUCGACGAAAAGGAUGUGAGCGUCGAUCUUCUUUUUACGGGUCUUUUCAGAGAUUUGGCGAAUGAUAAAAAUCUGGUCGAUUGUAGAUUUUCCAGGCCUAACAUCACACAAAUUGUAGAGGAAGAGGAAGACCUCCACUCCGUUGGAAGGAACAAGUGGAGAAGGACCUGGCUUUGCUUGGAAUAUCCAAUUGGCGCCACGUAGCGAAAAGACGAAACGUUUGGCGCGCUGUUGCUAACUCGGCUAUAAUCGCGUAAGCGGUGUCUGCGCCAGUAAAGAAGAAGAAGGUCACACUAAUAAGGUCCAAUCAGUUUGUUGACAGUAGUCUUCAGUCUCUCACACAGUACCUUUGAGAGAACCUUAUUUGCGAUUUUGAGAAGGCUUAACCGACAGUAUUUGGCGCAAAUUGUGGUGAUUCCCAGUUUGUAGAUUGGGCAGAGCACAUUUAAAUCGGGCGUGCUUUCCUCCAACCAUAUUCUGCAAAAAAGCUGUUGCAUGCUACUUAUCAGUUCUUCGCGACCAUGUUGAAUAGCUCGGCUGGCAGUCCGUCGGCAUUAAACUUCUUCUUGGGCAAUAGAACGUGUGCAUCAUCGUCAUCGAUUGAGGAAUUGGAUUAAUUAUCUCCUAACGUCAUGCUUUCACUGCCAUUCGGCAGGCUGGAGAAGUGCUCCUCUAAUAAUCUCAGUGUGCUCUGGGCAGUCAGUAGAUCACCUCUAGGGUUUCUACAAUAGUAUGCUCCGGUCAUGAAACCUUCUGUUAGUUGCCGCAUCUUUUUGUUGAAUUUUCGAGCAUUAUUCUUGUCGGCCAGCUUGUCAAGGUCUUCGUACUCAUGCAUUUCGGCCUUUCUCUUUUGUCUGAAAAUGCGUCUCGCUUCCCUCUUCAACUCUCGUCAUCUAUCCCAUCCGUGUCGUAUUGUGCUCAAUUGGAACGUUGCGAGGUAGGCAAUCUAUUUUCGCUCCACUGCGACUCGGCACCCCUCAUCGUACCAGCUGUUCUUCUGUCUUUUCCGAAAACCAAUGGUUUCGUAUGCAGCUGUACGUCAGGAGCUUGAAAUGUCGUCCCACAAUUCCCUUAUAAGGAGUUGCUAAUCGGUACUCUCAGAAAGCAGGAGUGCAAGUCGGCUGUCGCGACGUCGAACAUUCUUUGCGUUUUUUGAAGUGCGUUGGUUGCUGCACCUAGGCGGGUAAUAUAGAGGUUCAAGUCAGUGCUAGAACUUCGGCGGAUACCCAAGUCUUAAACACAGGAGAGGUGUGUCUAUCACAUCGUGAUCGAUUUAUUGGUGGUGUUUCGUUUCGGAGAUAACCAUUUUUACGGACCCUGGCAAAGUCGAUCAGCUUCAACUCAUUUGGGGAUGUUUCACAGCGAUGGUGUCAGUCUUUAUUCCACCGAGGACAUCAACCAGCGGAACAGCCGCACGUUGCCAAUUAAAGGACAAGACAUUCCAGAUACAUGGCCUUAAAUCGUAAUCUUUAAUACGUUUGCUUUCGUCGUCAUCAAAAGGAGGUUUCUCAUCAAAGGCUGUUUUAUUUGUUUUCAUGGGGAGUGUUUUUUUACGUGACAGGUUCCAAGUCCAGCACACAACCCUAUUUCGCCUUCUCACUGUUACUAGCGUGGAUGUUUUUUUUUGGCUACCCAGAGAAUACUUCGUCAAAGACCGAAAGUCGUGAACUGCUUGAGCCAUAUAUAAAAUAAUCAUUUCUGCCCACUCCCCAAGUAAUGUCGCUCAGAGAACAUUCCUCACUAGCAAGUACUUCUACGCAUGGUUCCUUCCACCAAUUAGAUGCAUACGACGUACAUAUUUUUCCGCCAAAGUUAUCUUAUUAUUAAAUAGUUGCAUAUUUCUGUUCUCUAAUCGAUGACGGGAUCGGGAAGGACCUCACGAAUACAUUGGAUGCCAAGCGAAGUUUCAGGCAAGGCGAUUCCUUGUCGUGUGACUUUUUCAAUCUAUUGCUGGAAAAAAUAAUGCGAGCUGCAGAGCUAAAUAGAGAAGGUAUAAUCUUCUAAAGUGUGUUAAGCUGCUGGCCUACUUUGAUAUCAUUGGCCUCAACAACCGUGCAAUUAGCAAAGCAAAUGGGUCUGGUGGUGAACGAGUACAAGACGAAAAAUCUCCUGUCAUCAAACAAGCAGUCGUUGCACUCGUGACUAGGCACCCACGUUGCUGUUGAAGGUUAUAACUUUGAAGUCGUAGAUAAUUUCAUCCACCACGGAGCUAGCAUUAAAACUCAAAAUCUAACGCAGAAUAACUCUUGCCAACAUGUACUACUUCGGACUGAGUAGGCAAUUGUGAAGUAAAGUCCUCUCUCGAUGAAUAAAAACCAAACUCUAUACGGAACUCAUAUUGCUAUUACGGUGCAGGGGCAUGGAAGAUGGUAACAUCUGAUGAGUCAGCCUAGAUUUAUGGUCCUUUGCCCAUUGGCAUGGAGAAAUACCACAGUCAAUGGAACGAUGAGCUGUACGAGACAUACGACGAUAUUGACAUAGUUCAGCGAAUUAAGAGAUCGGCUGUGCUGGCUGGCUGGUCUUGUCGUCCGAAAGGGUGAAAAAACUCCAUCUCUCAGAGAUACUAUACAUUCGAUGCAGUACCACUCCAAUAAAGAAGAAGAGGAUAUGUAACUGCAAUGCGCAUAAAAUUUUAUGUUUUUGUCUUUUGUUGUCUCUGAAAUCCACUUAAAUCUACUUUAGUACACUUUUUUAAUAAAUAAAUUCAAAUAUCUUAUUUUCUUUUUUUGUGGUUCUUUUAGCGUAAGUGCUUUUCUAUAUUCAGUAUUCAAAUACCUUUUUUUAUUUUUCCAAUUUAUUUUUAAAGAAACUUUAGAUCUACGCUUAAGUGCAAGUCGCUCCCUUUUUGCACACUACUUAUUUGCAUCUAUUAAACAUUCAAUUUACUAGUUUCAUUUGUUACUUCAAUUUUUCAAAUAUAUCUAAUUUUAUUCAAUUUCAAAUACAAUUUAUUCGCUUGAUUUCUUUAGGCAUUGGACAUUGUUUUUCCUGUUAUUUUUACUUCACUUCAUUAGAGUGAACACGUGACGGACAGAACUAUGCUGAUACAGACCGCUAUAGAACGUUUUCGCUGUUCGAACGGGAAUCAGAAAAAAGACCGUUUUUCGAUCGAGGACCAACUUAAAGGUCUGCUGGGUUGAAAAUAUGCGUGGAUUGUAUGGUGUAUUAAAUGAAUUUUUGUGAAUACGGUUCUAUGUGAGUGGCGUUCUCCUGCAUUAGUGUGGUGUGUCGAAGGGUGCAGUGUUGUAAAAUAUUGGAUGUUAAGGGUAUGCAAUAGCUCAUUUAGCCAGGUAGUAAUUUUCCAUCCACAUAUCGACAAUAGUCAUCAUUGGCAAAAUGUUAUCCCUUGAUAUUGGUGAGCAAUAGCGUCUUUCAUUCAACCAUUGACGGGGACUGUUAACGACCGACCACAGGAGGACCACCAUGUGACCCAAGUCAUUCGGGUUGACAUUGCCGUCAUUUUCAAUGGCGUCUUGGAGGUGUACUCCCUCUUAAUAUUUACAUACAUACAUAGCCACCAAAACUGAGAUAGUAGUGUCCUACAGCUUAGUACAAAUUAAAAUUGUUUUCAUAUGGGAUGGGUAAAAGUCCACGCAGGUUACUCUUUUAUUUCGUUUGUUUGAGAGAUAUUAAAGUGAUAUCAUCGGUCAUUUUCUCUGGGGUAGACUUAAAUUCACGGAGCAAGGUGUUAUGGUCCAGGACAUGUUGAUUUUUAGAAACAGUUGCUUGCUGCUUGCGUUGUAUUCUUUGAUAUCAUCUGCCAGUCUCCGCGUCGUCGUCUCCCAUAAAAUGUAGCUGUAAAAAUUGCGACUGUUUAUUAAGUGGUUGUAACGGUAAUCUUGUUUUGUUAUGUAUUUGGCCUUGUACUGUGAGAGUAGGAGAAAAUGCAGGCUUUGCCUUUCUUCGCUCCGAAUGACGUCAUGUGAAAGCAUGCGUUGUUUUUUUACACGGUUCGGUAACUGUGGAGACUCUUCAGUUGUACUUGUGCAUAAUGUUUUUGUAUGCACACAUUGAAAUAAUUCUUUGCACAUACAAGGUGCUUUCCAAAGUAAACAGGACUUUAAAAAAAACCAGAACAAAUAGCUUUUUUCGGCAAAAUCAAUUUAUUUUAUUCAAAAUAGUCUCCUUCUGCUGCAUGAAGGACAAAUUAUCGUCCUUCGAAUGUUGGAUUCUGAGCAAUUUUUGGUCGUCAGUCAAUUUUUGCGGAACAAACUGUGCACACACCUUUCGUAAGCCCAAAUAUUCGGUCAAAAUGCGAUAAGUCGAUAUUUUGGAGAUGUUAAAUUUCAUUUCCAUGAAUUUCAAUUAUGAUUUCGGCUGAUUUUUGAUGAAUUCACGCACAGUUUCGCUGGAAUUUCCGGUGAUCACGGAUUUUGAUUGGCUCACAUGUUGAUCGUCAUUUAUGUCCUCACGACCACGACCACUUUGAAAACGUUGAAACCACUCGCGCACUCUGCUACGCGAUAGACAAUCAUCGCCAUAAACUUGUUUCUUUCUUUGCUUGAAACGUUUCGAGAAAAGUUUUACCAAUUUUAAAACAAAAUUUAAUUUUGGCUCUUUUGGCACCGAUAACACAAAUGUACUGACACUUAAAACGCAAUAACUUCAUUUCCAAUAAAUGAAAUGUCAUGAAAUUUUCACUGGGCAAUCAACUAACGCAUCAGUCGACAUACAGAUGGCGUCACUAGGGGGCGCUAGCUUCAAAAAGUCAUGUUUACUUUGCAUUGCACCUUGUAUAAAUAUUUUAAGUAAGAUAAAUAUGUGAAUAUAGUUUUACUUUUGAAAUGCGUAAGCUCCGCGUUACUAGUUUUAGUAAUCCAUUGUUUCUCAAUCCUCAUUGAUUGUGGAAGGAAACAUUUCUGAUGCCAUCAACACUGCUUCUUCUGCAGAUAUUUCUUUCACUCCUCCUUCAUUGAGUUUAAAUAUUAUUCCAGUCAGCGCCACCACCCAUGAAAGCGGGGAAAAGACACUUCCUUGAGGAGUGUCUCUGCUUAUGUAGCUUACUCAUUUCGAUGAGCCAUUUGUUGCUAUUAUCGUUUUGUUCAUAAGCGUCGACACAUGAGCAUCUGUGAACUGUAACUACCCGCUUUUGAUAGGAACACCACUUUGAUUCUUUUUCAGCUUGUCAGUAUGUAAAAUAGUUCGAUGUUAGCCUUACAAGUAUAUACAUAUGUAUUAUUGCCUUGGAAGCAUUAGUUUCUUUAACCUUUGCAUCAUUAUGGGAAAAAUCCCAACUAAAUACUCGUAUAUGGCAUAAAUGGCAUGAAACUGUUUAUUGCGAAUGAGUUGUCUAUAAAGUUUUUUUCUUACUUACUAUGAAUCCGAAUUGGUCACCUAUUUUCGCAAGUAGUUGUGGUUGCAUAUCUACUGCGGCUUUCUGACAGCCAGAAAAGUGCGUUUUUAUGAGUUAAUCUAAGGAUUCACCUGAAAAGGAUCUCCAAGAAGGAGCCAUCGCAUUUUGAGAAGCGAUUGGUUGAGUAAGCUAUCUUGGUAAAUUUAUCCCAAACUGUUGUUCCAGAGUUUUCGCGGACAAUGUUCAGUUAACGACGAGGCUAUUCGAUUAGGUUGAUCGCGUAAGCUCCUAGACUUUCUCACAGCCCGAAAAGUUUAAAGAGCUUGGAAAAAUAAAUGUUGGCUCCUACUGCUCCUAUCUCACAUAAAUAAAUUGCUAUUUAGAAUAUAUUAGGGGGAUUGCUCUUGCAAAACCCUUGCACGGUGCACGUAUUGCACGGAUUUCAGAGUUAUCCGACUCAACAACAAAACACACGCUGAAAAUAUUUCCAAUUGCUGUAUAAUAUGUCGGAUCAAACCCCAUCUUCACUUUUGCGCAAUGACACGUAAAAAAAUAAUUGCAACCUUUUACCAGCUGUCAUUUUACAUAGGGACAUAUUUCGCCAAUAAUAUGUUGAGAGACUUUUUUUAAGAAUAAAUACAGAAGGUGCGGGGAGCGAAGAUGAAAAGGCAAUGACUGGCUUGCUACAAUUGGCGCAGGACUCCAAGAGGAGGCUGAUGGUAGAACCAUUGAAGCAAAAAUAGCUAAAAUGUGUCCCUACUACGCCCAGCUGAGGGAAAUACUUAUGUGGAAAGCGUGUACCGGGCAUGCAACAGUUACUGUUUGCCUUCGCCUCAGCUGUGUGCAGCGAGUUCUGCUCCAAAAUUCGAUAUCAAAUUUUUAGAAGCGGAAAAUGCACUUGCUGCGCCUUCUAUCGCACCAAUGUGCACGCCAUGUCAACUGGGCAACCGAAAUCUUCCAUUGAACAAUUGGAGGCUAUCCAAGCGGCGAAAAUUGCCAUGGAAGAGAAGUAACUUGAAUUUGAAAAAUAUUAGUUUGAAAAACAAAUUAAAAUUCAAGAAAAAAAGGAUAUAGAAUUAAAGAUAUUAGAAAUAGAUGAAAAAUAUAUAUUGUUAGAUUUAGAAAUGAAAGCAAGAGUGGUUAAGUACGAAAUUGAUAAAA